Long non-coding RNA from Gorilla gorilla gorilla (western lowland gorilla), 1178 nucleotides. RefSeq lists it as uncharacterized. NCBI's taxonomy places the organism in Eukaryota, Metazoa, Chordata, Mammalia, Primates, Hominidae. The record is from RefSeq and is a predicted model, not a curated record. The transcript is spliced from 4 exons.
CGUGAGUAAGACUGGUGUCCCUGUAGAAGAGGAAGAGACAUCAGAGAUGUGGGUGCACAGAGAGGCCAUAGGAAGACAGUGAGAAGGCGGCCAUUGUAAGCCAAGGAGCAAGAUCUCAGGAAAAACCAAACCUGCCAACACCUUGAUCUAGGACUUCCAGCCUCCAGAACUCAUUCCCUUCACAUGGCCGCCCACCAUGCUGAACUGAUGGAUUAUUGCAAGUCCUGGUCCUGGUUCGGUUGCCGCGUCCACAGCUCCUUGUGCAUUCUUCCCAAAGACUCCAUUCCGACCAGCUACCAUCCACUAUACAAAGGUGAACCAUUACACCAUCAGUAAGUGUCAAAAAUUUAAAAUUCCUGAGAUUCGCCUAGAGCAUGGGCUCUAGAGUCAUGUUUGCUGGAUUCAAAUUCUGUGUCUGCUCCUUACUACCUCUCUGAGCCCCAUGUGCUUAAAAAUGGUGCCUACUUCAGAGGAUUCCUGUUAGACUCAACAAGAGGAUGUGACUACAACUUUUGAACAAGGAAAAAUACUUCUUCAACUCUCUGUUCAUGCAUUCAGAUGGUGAUUUGGUUCAAGGUUGGACAUAUGAACUAGACCUUAUCAAUUAGAACAUUGCAACCUCUUGCUGUCUGUGAUUGGCUCUGGAUGGAUACAUGAUUCACACUUGGCCAAUUAAAACCACGGAAAUUCAAUUCUAGGGCUCCAAUUGUAAAUACUAGGAGAAAAAAACUUUCAUUUGAAUGUGGAACUAGGAGGAUGCAAGCCUAGAGCUGCUAGAGGCCACCUUGCUAUCCAAGGGGAUCCCCCUCCCUGAGAGUGACAUUAAUAAAGAAAAGCAGAGUCGAGAGAGGUAAAGUCUGGUUGACCUCAUUUGAACCACAGAAGUCAGACAUGACUGUAGCCAGCUCUAUUUUGGGACUUUUCUGAUUCAUAAGUCAAUGAAUUCUUUUUUUUUGUUUGUUUUCAUUUAAGUCAGUUUGUUUCUUAAUACUUCAAGAGUCCUGACUAAUGUGCUGUCAAUUUGUAGAAGAUAAUUACCUCCUUGGGAGAACUAUCAGUUUCUGGUUAUCUUUAUAGUCUCAAAAGCACUUAGUGUAACAUCCUGCAAACAUUAGUUCCUCAAAAAUACUUUACAGUAAAAGAAUGAACAACAAACAAAAGAAAAACUCACCGAGUAC